GGAUGGGUUUAUCCAACCAUCACAUAUGAUUAUUUCCUAGGAAAGUCACGGAUGGUUUUAUCACCUGGGAUGGGCAUUUCUGGUUCCACCUACUGUUCCAGCAUCAUGCUGAGCCAACUUGUGGGCUGAGAUGAGCGCUCAGAUGAGAACUCCAAGCAGACUUCUCAACACAUGCCUGUCAAGUUUGCAACCAGUCAGAUAUGGAAUUGUGUUUUCCCAGACAGAAGUGGAAAGUUACUCCUACCUCAUAGAAUUGUGUACUCAAGGCUCCCAGAGGCAUCCCAACAAUCCACGAGAUCUACUCACCCAUCAGUUGGAAAGACUGUAGUUAUAGGCUGAGGACCACUCAACAAUCACUAUUACUUAUCGCAGGUGCACCAAGGUUAUGUAAGAUGUUAACCCUGAAGAAACUGAAUGAAAGGUAUACAGGAACCCUCCAUACUUAACUUCCAGCUUUUCUGUUUUAUACUUUCGGUGGCGUAAAGACACAGGCUGUACUCGACAUGGAGAAAAACCAGGGUCAAGAGUGCGACUUGCAGAUGAAAGAGAACACAAAGUGGUGAAAUCAAAUGGAAGGAAGAAACACAGAGGAGCCUGAUUUAUAGGAAAAUUAGAUGCAAAAUGAAGAUAACUGAAUCCUCUAUGAGCAUUUGAUGUGCAUGAUGGCCAUUUUCAGUUCUUGUGUCCUCAUCUGCUUUACGUGCCCCUGCUGACAUCACCACUACCCAAGUAUCAAUAUAAUAUUGACAGAACAUGGAAGUAUAUUCAAGAUCCCUCAAAAAUUUUCCUUUAAUCACUCUGUGGAAAACAAUGUUGAAAUGAAUAAAACUAGCCUCAAACUACCUUAAUCAAAUCCAAGACAUGUUUCUUCCAGGUUAUGACGUCUUGGAACAGGACCCUUAUCUCUGAUCCUGAAAAUAUAGAGUUAAAAUUAAAACAUGGAAAGCACAUGGAGAAGAAGUAUGUGGCACACAUUAAUGACUCAAUAUAUGUUGCUGGUUUUGUUUUUGUAAAUCUUCAAAAUAAUUAUGUAUUAGCUCCUCUUACCGCUGUGACAAGGCACCACAGCCUUUGCA
Panthera uncia (snow leopard) is the source of this 1076-nucleotide long non-coding RNA. RefSeq lists it as uncharacterized. NCBI's taxonomy places the organism in Eukaryota, Metazoa, Chordata, Mammalia, Carnivora, Felidae. The transcript is spliced from 6 exons. The record is from RefSeq and is a predicted model, not a curated record.